Molecule: transfer RNA, 71 nt
Filed under: Ichthyophthirius multifiliis
Lineage: Eukaryota; Ciliophora; Oligohymenophorea; Hymenostomatida
Description: tRNA-Trp
Rfam family: tRNA
About the family: Transfer RNA (tRNA) molecules are approximately 80 nucleotides in length. Their secondary structure includes four short double-helical elements and three loops (D, anti-codon, and T loops).
Source: RNAcentral
GGGGGAGUAGUUUAGUGGUAAAACAGUGGUCUUCAAAAUCAUAGAUAUAGGUUCGAUUCCUAUCUUCCUCG